AUACUACUCCCCCUGUCCCAAAAUUCUUGUCUUAAAUUUGUUUAGAUAUGAAUGUAUCUAAUCAUGUUUUAGUAUUUACAUACAUCCAUUUAUAGACAAACCUAAGACAAGAAUUUUGGGAUGGCAGGAGUACAGG
Molecule: non-coding RNA, 136 nt
Organism: Hordeum vulgare subsp. vulgare (domesticated barley)
Lineage: Eukaryota; Viridiplantae; Streptophyta; Magnoliopsida; Poales; Poaceae
Source: Rfam